GUGAACGCUGGCGGCGUGCCUAACACAUGCAAGUCGAACGAUGAUGGAGAGCUUGCUCUCCUGAUUAGUGGCGCACGGGUGAGUAUACCAUAGAUAAUGUACCUCUUAGUUUGGGAUAGCCACUGGAAACGGUGAUUAAUACUAGAUACACCUCUUUAGCUCAAGCUAGAGAGGGAAACGUUUUUUCGCUUCGAGAUCAGACUAUAUCCUAUCAGUUAGUUGGUGAGGUAAUGGCUCACCAAGGCAAUGACGGGUAGCGGUUCUGAGAGGAUGAUCCGCCACACUGGUACUGAGACACGGACCAGACUCCUACGGGAGGCAGCAGUGAGGAAUAUUGCACAAUGGGGGGAACCCUGAUGCAGCAACGCCGCGUGGAGGAUGACGCAUUUCGGUGUGUAAACUCCUUUUAUAUGUCAAGAAAAUGACGGUAGCAUAUGAAUAAGCACCGGCUAACUCCGU
Molecule: ribosomal RNA, 459 nt
Filed under: uncultured bacterium
Lineage: Bacteria
Description: bacterial SSU rRNA
Rfam family: Bacterial small subunit ribosomal RNA
Source: RNAcentral